CCUACGGGUGGCAGCAGUGGGGAAUAUUGGUCAAUGGGCGCACGCCUGACCCAGCAACGCCGCGUGAAGGAAGAAGGCUUUCGGGUUGGAAACUUCUUUUGUCAGGGAAGAGUAGAAGACGGUACCUGACGAAUAAGCCACGGCUAACUACGUGCCAGGCGCCGCGGUCAUACGUAGGUGGCAAGCGUUGUCCGGAUUUACUGGGUGUAAAGGGCGUGUAGCCGGGUUGACAAGUCAGAUGUGAAAUCCUGCGGCUUAACCGCAGCACUGCAGUUGAAACUGUUGAUCUUGAGUACUGGAGAGGCAGACGGAAUGCGUAGUGUAGCGGUGAAAUGCGUAGAUAUUAGGAGGAACACCAGUGGCGAAGGCGGUAUGCUGGACAGCAACUGACGGUGAGGCGCGAAAGCGUGGGGAGCAAACAGGAUUAGAUACCCGGGUAGUC
Molecule: ribosomal RNA, 442 nt
Filed under: uncultured bacterium
Lineage: Bacteria
Description: partial 16S ribosomal RNA
Rfam family: Bacterial small subunit ribosomal RNA
Source: RNAcentral